GCUGGUUAUAUUAGCGGGUUUAUGAUCAUGUAAAUUGACCAAAAUGCCCUCUAUCCUACCAGUAGCAUAUGCUUUUUGUUGUUUUCUUUCCCUCCGUUGUUCAUAAGCCAGAGAGCUCGGCUCAGUCAGUCACCAACACCUUUCGAAAAUGGCGACCAUGCCGAGCCAUGGUCUCAGGCAUCUAAGCACGGGGCAACCAUCGCUUCGAAAGUUCCGUUUCUCAACCACUGUGGCUUCUGUUGCUUCCUCUUUCACUGAAGACUCGGAGCAAGCCCAGCCAAACACCAACAACAGAGCAGAUAUUAAUAAUAAUAAUAACAAUAAGCCAAGCUCGUAUUUUCCGAAGCGUGGCCAAUCGUUGGAACUGGUAUGCGAGUCCUUGGCUUUCAAGGGCAAAGGUCUGUGCAAGGUGGCAGACACUGGGUUCGUUGUCAUGUGCGACCGUGCACUCCCCGGUGAACGCUUCAUUGGGCGUGUCACUCGCAAGAAGGGAAACUAUGCUGAGGUGACUAAGGUAAAGACAAUAUCUCCUCAUUGGGACUUUGUGGAUGCCCCUUGUGAGUAUGCUUCUUACUGUGGAGGGUGUAAAACACAAAAUUUGUCUUAUGAGGCACAGCUCAGAGCCAAGGAACAACAAGUUCGUGAUUUAGUCAUACAUGUUGGAAAGUUUUGUCAUACAGACCUCGAAUCUCUAGGCAUCAUGAAACCCAUUGUUCCCUGUGAUAUUCAGUUCCAUUACAGGAAUAAGAUGGAGUUCUCUUUUGGUUCUCAACAAUGGUUACCUAAAGAAUUAAUAACAGAGAAAAAUGAUGGAAAUAAGAAUUAUGCAUUGGGACUGCAUGCUCCUGGAUUUUUUGAUAAGAUUCUAAAUGUUGACAAGUGCUUAUUGCAAAGUGAGCCAGCCAAUACGGUUCUUGCAGCUAUCCAAGAUUGUUGGAGAGAUGAACAAUUAGGUCUCUCUCCUUACAAUGCACGCUCUCAUGCGGGAUUUCUUAAGCAUCUAAUGCUAAGGACCGGGAGAAACCUGAAGACUGGUCUUCCUGAACUCAUGGUUAAUUUUGUAACUUCAUCUUAUGAACCAGAGCUUCUGAAGCCUCUAGUUGAGAGAAUUAAAGUGAUCCCUGAAGUGGUAAGCAUCGUGAAUAAUGUAAAUACUUCUGUUGGAAACACAUCAGUUGGGGAGCAGGAAUACACUUUGCAUGGAAAAUCUAACAUCGUGGAGAUCUUAAGAGGGCUUACAUUUCAAAUAUCAGCGAACUCUUUCUUCCAGACAAAUACUUACCAGGCAGAGGUUUUAUAUAAACUUAUAGAAGAGUGUGCUGGUCUCAAAGGAGAUGGCUCAGAGAUCGUUCUUGACCUAUUUUGUGGGACUGGCACCAUUGGUCUGACACUUGCCAGAAGGGUCAAACAUAUUUAUGGAUAUGAAGUAGUAGCUCAAGCAAUCUCAGAUGCUCGUCUGAAUGCAAAUCUGAAUGGCAUCCAUAAUGCCACAUUUAUUCAAGGGGAUCUUAAUAAAAUUGAUGAAAGUUUUGGAAACAAUUUCCCUAAACCAGAUAUUGUAAUUUCAGAUCCAAACCGUCCAGGAAUGCAUAUGAAGCUGAUUAAAUUUCUUCUAAAGCUAAAGCCACAACGCAUAGUUUAUGUAUCAUGUAAUCCUGCCACAUGCGCACGUGACCUUGAUUACCUCUGUCAUGGAGUGUUUCAUGCAGAUGGAGCAAAAUAUUAAAGGGUGUUACGACCUAAAGAGUUUACAGCCAGUGGACAUGUUCCCGCACACUCCUCAUAUUGAGUGUGUUUGCCUGUUGGAGCUUUCUGACCAUUCCAGUUAGAUUCAAGCAUCAGGUUAUGUGAAGCUUGCAAGUUGGAAGGGAACUAUGGUCAAUGGGGUCCGGAAGGAGCAAUCAGAAGCUGUUUUAAACUUGUAGCAUUGAGGAAAAGGAAAAAUGAAAAGAUUUCAGGUAUACGUAGAAUUCAAUCCCAUCUAUGGAUGUGUGAGGGUUUUCCAAUAAAUUGUCAUCUAGGAAAUGGGUUUGUUAUUUAUCAACCCACAUUGAAUUAGCCAAGAUAGAGAGAAAUAUGAAACGAGAGGUUCUAUUGCUAAGUUUGGCCAAGUGGAAUCCUUAGCACUAUAGCCUUGUAAAAUAUUGGCUCAACAAUGUGACAAAGUGUAGAAGAUUUGAGGAGGUGGAGGACCAUGGGAUUCUCCAGUGCAAUACUUUGUUAGGUGCUUUUCCAACAUUUUUUUUUUCCUGAAAAAUCUAAAAUAAAAAUAUAAGUUGAGAUUAAUAAA
Molecule: RNA transcript, 2290 nt
Organism: Ziziphus jujuba (common jujube)
Lineage: Eukaryota; Viridiplantae; Streptophyta; Magnoliopsida; Rosales; Rhamnaceae
Exons: 11
Source: RefSeq, a predicted model, not a curated record